Molecule: long non-coding RNA, 1181 nt
Filed under: Homo sapiens (human)
Lineage: Eukaryota; Metazoa; Chordata; Mammalia; Primates; Hominidae
Description: HSALNT0177156
Source: RNAcentral
UCUCGCUCUGUUGCCCAGGGGGAGUGCAAUGGCGUGAUCCCGGUUCACUGCAACCUCCACCUCCCGGAUUGAAGCAAUUCUCAUGCCUCAGCCUCCCUAGAAGCUGGGAUUACAGGCACGUGCCAUCACACACAGCUUAUUUUUGUAUUUUUAGUAGAGAUGGGGUUUCACCAUAUGGGCCAGGCUGGUCUUGAACUCCUGACCUCAGGUGAUCCACCUGCCUUGGCCUCUCAAAGUUCUGGGAUUACAGGCGUGAGCAGCCACGCCCAGCCUCAGUGAGUCUUAAGUCAAUGUGAACUUAUUAAAACCAAUUCAGUGACAAGCCCACCCCAUGAUCUACUCUGCUCUACAGCACUUAGAACCCUGCAGGGGGAUUAGCCAGGUGUGGUGGGCAACUGUAGUCCCAGCUACUCGGGAGGCUGAGGCAGGAGGAUUGCUUGAGCCCAGGAGGUUGAGGCUGCAGUGAGCUAUGAUUGCACCACUGCACUCCAGCCUGGGCAACAGAGCAAGACCCUGUCUGUAAAAAAAAAAAAAAAAGAAUCCUGCCGGGGCUUGAGGGGGAGUUCCAAAACCAAACAUGUAUUUUCUUUUUUUUGAGACAGAGUCUCACUCUGUCAUCCAGGCUGGAGGGUAGUGGUGUGUUCUCAGCUCACUGCAACCACUGCGUCGCAGGUUCAAACAACUCUCCUGCCUCAGCCUCCUGAGUAGCUGGGACUACAGAUGCGUGCUACCACACCUGGCUAAUUUUUGUGUUUUUUAUAGAGACAGGGUUUCACUAUGUUAGCCAGGCUGGUCUUGAACUCUUGGCCUCAAGCAAUCCACCUGCCUUGGCCUCCCAAAGUGUUGGGAUUACAGGUGUGAGCCACCGCGCCCAGCCGAACUGGACCAUUUCUUUUGCGCUGAUACACAUGAUCCUUAAUGAGAACCAGCUGCUGACACCUGUCCCGGAAGUUUCAUCAGAAACAGCUCCAGGUGGGGGACUGCUUCAGCAACGUGGGGCCUCACAGCUCAGAUUACAGGGCCGAGCUGCCGCAAGUGAAAUAGUGUUAGGGGCCAACGUGGAAAACCCUACCUAGAUUCCAGUCCCCACUGUGAGGUUUCUUUUUUUAAAAUUUUUAUUAUUUAUAUAUUUUAUUUUUAAAUUAUUAUUAUUUAUUAAUUUAUUGUUAUGGUUCUUUUUU